CAUUGUUAAAGGCAUUUAUUUUAAAUCCGAACUGAGAGACAGCAAUGGACAAUCAUAUUACAGGGACAGUUCAGUGAGUUGAUUGACAUCAAAAUCCUGAAAUUCUGGCUUUCAUGUCACUGAUUAACAUUAUUGCACUGUUUCUAGGGAUUGGCACUGAACUUAAAUUCAAGGAACAAUAUUAAAUGUCAAAAGAAUGGCUGAAGUAAAAAAAGAAAAAUAGCUCACAGUUUGACCAGAGAGCAGUUGGAAAAGGCUUGCAAAAUAAGGAGGAAAUUGAGUAGGCUGAUAGCUAUAGAGUGAAGAAGCAACACGCACUAAAGCUACGAGCCAAGGAAUAGCUAAGUACUCUAAAUUACUGAAAGAUGAAAGCAGUUUUUCACAGGAGCUAAGAAGACAGGAAAGCAUUCAGAACAGGUAAAUGGAGAAGAAAAACAGCAUAACAGAUAAACAACACAAAGCUGAAAAAGGACCUAAAAGGGACAGAGUGGAGCAGAGGAAAAUAACCUAAAGAGGGGGAUGAGAAGAGAGGAGGAGCAGAGGGAAAGAGAAGGACCUAAAAAGGGUAUGCAGAGGAGGACCUAGAGAGGAGCAGAGGGAAAGAGGAGGACCUAAAAAGGGGACGCAGAGGAGGACCUAGAGAGGAGCAGAGGGAAAGAGGAGGAUCUAAAGAGGGACAGAGAGAAAGAGGAGGACCUAAAGAGGGACAGAAAGGAGCAGGGGGAAAGAGGAGGACCUAAAGAGGGAUAGAGAGGGAAAGAGGAGGACCUGAAGAGGGUCAGAGGAGCAGAGGGAAAGAGGAUGACCUGAAGAGGGACAGAGGAGCAGAGGGAAAGAGGAGGACCUGAAGAGGGGCAGAGGAACAGAGGGAAAGAGGAUGACCUGAAGAGGGACAGAGGAGCAGAGGGAAAGAGGAGGACCUGAAGAGGGUCAGAGGAGCAGAGGGAAAGAGGAGGACCUGAAGAGGGACAGAGGAGCAGAGGGAAAGAGGAGGACCUGAAGAGGGACAGAGGAGCAGAGGGAAAGAGAU
Oncorhynchus tshawytscha (Chinook salmon) is the source of this 1030-nucleotide long non-coding RNA. The record is from Ensembl. Lineage: Eukaryota; Metazoa; Chordata; Actinopteri; Salmoniformes; Salmonidae.